GACUUGGUAGCCUAGUUGGUGAAGGCAGCACUUCUAGUAUAUUUUCUUUGCUUCUAGCUAGGUUUUCUGGCUCAAAUCCUGCCCAAGUUA
RNAcentral lists this transfer RNA (90 nucleotides) under Puccinia sorghi. RNAcentral's name for it is "tRNA-OTHER". Lineage: Eukaryota; Fungi; Basidiomycota; Pucciniomycetes; Pucciniales; Pucciniaceae. The record is from RNAcentral.